GCUUUAAAGUUUGCUAAAGAGGAGCUGGAGAGAUGGCCCAGCACCUGAGAACCCAAUUCCUGAGUCAAUUCCCAAAAUCCACAUCUGGCUGUUCACAUGCACCUGUAUCUAAAGCUCCAUGGGAUCUAAUACCUCUGGUCUUCACAAUCGCCUGUACACACACACACACACACACACACACACACAGAGGCAUAAUUUUUAAGAAAAUUUUCCAGGAGGAUAAUUCCACGACUAUGAUUGUGGAAUGUUGCAGAUUCAGAGCCAAGUUAUCCUGGGUCAUACUUUGUUCCAUUAGUAGCCAUUCAUUGCCCAUCUCUUGUGUCUGAUUUUAUGCCACAAUCCUUGUGAUUCAAAUAUUAACCCACCACUACCUUGCACCAACACAAAGCUACCAGUGUCAUCAGUAUCUGAAACCUACAGAAAACAAAGUUCCCACUUUUCUGCAACCUGAUGUUUUUGAUUCACCAAUGUAUUUGAAAAAAUAAAUGCCUUGGUUUAUGUAGUAAGUUCUGAAUGAACAAAUAAAUGCAAAUAAAUAAAUAAAUGCAAA
Molecule: long non-coding RNA, 550 nt
Filed under: Mus musculus (house mouse)
Lineage: Eukaryota; Metazoa; Chordata; Mammalia; Rodentia; Muridae
Description: predicted gene, 48079
Source: RNAcentral